This 253-nucleotide ribosomal RNA is filed under the name uncultured bacterium. RNAcentral's name for it is "partial 16S ribosomal RNA". It matches the Rfam family "Bacterial small subunit ribosomal RNA", at positions 524 to 776 of the family's 1533-position model. The record is from RNAcentral.
GACGAACCUUGCUAACGUUAUUCGGAAUUACUGGGCUUAAAGGGUGCGUAGGCGGUGCAGAAAGUUGGGUGUGAAAGCCCUCGGCUCAACCGAGGAAUUGCGCCCAAAACUGCUGCACUAGAGGAAGACAGAGGUACGCGGAACUUAGGGUGGAGCGGUGAAAUGCGUAGAGAUGUGGAGGAACACCAGUGGCGAAGGCGACUUUCUGGCUUAUAACUGACGCUGAGGCGCGAAAGCGUGGGGAGCAAACAGG